GCACACAGCAGGUGUUUAAUGGGAAGAAGC
This 30-nucleotide non-coding RNA is filed under the name Mus musculus (house mouse). The record is from RNAcentral. Lineage: Eukaryota; Metazoa; Chordata; Mammalia; Rodentia; Muridae.